GAUGGCACUUUAUUUAACCAAAGCAGUUUCAGCGCUGCCUCUGUUGGAGGAUCAAGUGCAGCCACUGGAAUGCGACUCUGCUGAACCUCAUAUGUUGACCGGACAGAAAAGAAACCAGCAGAAUUUGGAAGCAAUUUGCGCCGAUCACUAUUGAUGCGAUUAGGCUGCACAUGUUCUAACAAAGCAUAUAAAUCGUGCUCUGCUACUACCUCCGUAUCGAUAAGUGCUUCAGUCCAAACAAGCUUCCAAGACCAAAUAUCAUUAUCCAAAUUUCCCAUAUCCGAUACAUAACCAUCUUGCUGAGUAGAUUUGUUGAACAGUGAUGGAAACAAAACACGUAAAGGUGUCAUUCCUAUCCAUUUCUCUUUCCAAAAAUCAAGGUUCUUCCCAUCUCCAAAGAUACUACUAAUGUUGUUACCGAACCAUCCCCUUUCCUCCACAUUACCCAAACUCCAAAUGUCGUGCCACCAUAUUGAAGCUUGUUUAAGCCCUUCUCUUCUUUCGUCAAACAAAAAAAUUUAUGCAAAAUUAAUAACCAUAACGAAACAACAGAAUAUCGUACCAAGGGGCAU
This 572-nucleotide long non-coding RNA is filed under the name Trifolium pratense (red clover). RNAcentral describes it as "long non-coding RNA (TPRA_LNC012697)". Lineage: Eukaryota; Viridiplantae; Streptophyta; Magnoliopsida; Fabales; Fabaceae. The record is from RNAcentral.